Molecule: ribosomal RNA, 758 nt
Filed under: uncultured archaeon
Lineage: Archaea
Description: bacterial SSU rRNA
Rfam family: Archaeal small subunit ribosomal RNA
Source: RNAcentral
GGAUAACUUACCCUUUAGGACUGGGAUAACUCUGGGAAACUGGGGAUAAUACUGGAUAUUAGGCUAUGCCUGGAAUGGUUUGCCUUUGAAAUGUUUUUUUCGCCUAAGGAUAGAUCUGCGGCUGAUUAGGUCGUUGGUGGGGUAAUGGCCCACCAAGCCGAUGAUCGGUACGGGUUGUGAGAGCAAGAGCCCGGAGAUGGAACCUGAGACAAGGUUCCAGACCCUACGGGGUGCAGCAGGCGCGAAACCUCCGCAAUGUACGGAAGUGCGACGGGGGGAUCCCAAGUGUUAUGCUUUUUUGUAUAACUUUUCAUUAGUGUAAAAAGCUUUUAGAAUAAGAGCUGGGCAAGACCGGUGCCAGCCGCCGCGGUAACACCGGCAGCUCGAGUGGUAGCUGUUUUUAUUGGGCCUAAAGCGUUCGUAGCCGGUUUGAUAAGUCUUUGGUGAAAGCUUGUAGCUUAACUAUAAGAAUUGCUGGAGAUACUAUUAGACUUGAAGUCGGGAGAGGUUAGAGGUACUACCGGGGUAGGGGUGAAAUCCUAUAAUCCUGGGAGGACCACCUGUGGCGAAGGCGUCUAACUGGAACGAUCUUGACGGUGAGUAACGAAAGCCAGGGGCGCGAACCGGAUUAGAUACCCGGGUAGUCCUGGCCGUAAACGAUGUGGACUUGGUGUUGGAAUGGCUUCGAGUUGUUCCGGUGCCGAAGGGAAGCUGUUAAGUCCACCGCCUGGGAAGUACGGUCGCAAGACUGAAACUUA